AUCAACUCCUCGCACCCGCAAGAGGCGGAGAGGUAGGAGGCUGGGCGGGGGUUGUACCAAUGCCUCACGGUAGCGGGGGGAAGCGGACUGUACCAACUCCUCGCACGGACAGAUAGGGCACAUGUUUUUGGGCCGUAUUAUGAUCCAGGCUGUCCUGCCAGACCAGAGCCUGCAAAGAAACUUACUGUUGGACCCUGGGACAACAGCGCAAUAACCGGAGCUGUGCAGCUGGUAACCCAAGGAUGAAUGCAUUCCCUCUGGUCUGUCCCAGCUGCUGUGGGCCAUUGGGAGUUCCGCCAGAAGCCAAAAGGGGCCACUAGCACAAUGAACUUCCCUGGAGAGGGGAAGCACAAGAGGAGCUGAGCUCAUUCAAACCAUGCAGAGGCCUGGAGAUAGUGCUGGAAGCCAGGGACAAAGCUGGACCAGGGGACAACAAACCCCUCCACAAGAGAAGCGGCACAGAGCCACAGCGGAGGAAAAGAGCUUCCCGGACCAAUGCAGAAACUGAAGUACAAAGUGACUACUUGCCUAGGACUACACAACAAGUCAGAAGCUGAGCUGUAAUUGGAUCUGAGGAAUUCCUGAACUGAGCUUUUAUCAUAAAAUAAACUUCAAUUAAAGUGUAGUAUUUGUCCCACAGAAGGCAGUCCAAAUAGUGCUUUCUACAGCAGGGACCUAUAUAGGUGCCCAUACUUUCUUCUGUCCAAUUACAGCAUUUCAUUAACUCCCCUAAGGUAAUGAUGUUACUGAAAAAUAGAAUGGCCAUUGCCUUUUUUCUCAAGGAAUACCUUGUUUAUGACUCUGGACAUUAUAAGCUGUCUUAAUGAGAAAACAAAUUUUAAUUAAUAAACUACAGUCAU
This is a long non-coding RNA of Alligator sinensis (Chinese alligator), 860 nucleotides long. RefSeq lists it as uncharacterized. Lineage: Eukaryota; Metazoa; Chordata; Crocodylia; Alligatoridae. The transcript has 3 exons. The record is from RefSeq and is a predicted model, not a curated record.